This 511-nucleotide ribosomal RNA is filed under the name uncultured bacterium. Its description in RNAcentral is "bacterial SSU rRNA". It matches the Rfam family "Bacterial small subunit ribosomal RNA", at positions 17 to 518 of the family's 1533-position model. The record is from RNAcentral.
UUCUGGCUCAGGAUGAACGCUAGCUACAGGCUUAACACAUGCAAGUCGAGGGGCAGCAUAACGAAAGCUUGCUUUGUUGAUGGCGACCGGCGCACGGGUGAGUAACGCGUAUCCAACCUUCCCUAUACUAGAGGAUAGCCCGGCGAAAGUCGGAUUAAUACUCUAUGUUCUUCGUAGAAGACAUCUGAAAUGAAGCAAAGGUUUACCGGUAUAGGAUGGGGGAUGCGUCUGAUUAGGUUGUUGGCGGGUAACGGCCCACCAAGCCCACGAUCAGUAGGGGUUCUGAGAGGAAGGUCCCCCACAUUGGAACUGAGACACGGUCCAAACUCCUACGGGAGGCAGCAGUGAGGAAUAUUGGUCAAUGGACGAGAGUCUGAACCAGCCAAGUAGCGUGCAGGAUGACGGCCCUAUGGGUUGUAAACUGCUUUUAUACAGGGAUAAAGUGCACUACGUGUAGUGUUUUGUAGGUACUGUAUGAAUAAGGACCGGCUAAUUCCGUGCCAGCCGCCGC